This 305-nucleotide ribosomal RNA is filed under the name Enterobacter cloacae subsp. cloacae. RNAcentral describes it as "partial 23S ribosomal RNA". It matches the Rfam family "Bacterial large subunit ribosomal RNA", at positions 2644 to 2925 of the family's 2925-position model. The record is from RNAcentral. Lineage: Bacteria; Pseudomonadati; Pseudomonadota; Gammaproteobacteria; Enterobacterales; Enterobacteriaceae.
GCCGUGGGCGCUGGAGAAUUGAGGGGGGCUGCUCCUAGUACGAGAGGACCGGAGUGGACGCAUCACUGGUGUUCGGGUUGUCAUGCCAAUGGCACUGCCCGGUAGCUAAAUGCGGAAGAGAUAAGUGCUGAAAGCAUCUAAGCACGAAACUUGCCCCGAGAUGAGUUCUCCCUGAGACUUUAAGUCUCCUGAAGGAACGUUAAAGACGAUGACGUUGAUAGGUCGGGUGUGUAAGCGCAGCGAUGCGUUGAGCUAACCGAUACUAAUGAACCGUGAGGCUUAACCUUACAACGCCGAAGGUGUUU